GCCGGCGUGGCGGAAUUGGCAGACGCGCACGACUCAAAAUCGUGUUCCUUCGGGAGUGUGGGUUCGAGACCCUCCGCCGGUA
RNAcentral lists this transfer RNA (82 nucleotides) under Verrucomicrobiota bacterium. RNAcentral's name for it is "tRNA-Leu". It matches the Rfam family "tRNA". Rfam says of the family: Transfer RNA (tRNA) molecules are approximately 80 nucleotides in length. Their secondary structure includes four short double-helical elements and three loops (D, anti-codon, and T loops). Lineage: Bacteria; Pseudomonadati; Verrucomicrobiota. The record is from RNAcentral. RNAcentral also lists the same sequence under 4 other names.